ACCGCUUGAAUGCCUGCUAGACCUGUCUGCAAGGGUGCACGUACUUCGCUCGACCUGUCCCGUCGCUCCCCACGCCCUCGAGCCGCGCUGUCGACGAUGCCUCACCGGCCAACCGCCAACUUGCUUUCUUCGGUCGCAGUGCGUGUGCCGGGCGGAAUUGGACCGGUCGUGGCGCACUAGCAGCGCUGGAGAGGACGUGGCAGAACAGGCCAGAGGCUCGAUGACGUCGGACGAGGUUGGCUUGCGACUGUUCGAGCGACUCGCUUCUUUCUCCCUCCUUCCUCACACCCCUACGACACUCGCCAGCCCGACAUGUCCUUCGUCAGCGACAACUCCGAAAAAUCUGAGGCCGACCAACGCUUCAUGACCGCCGCAAUCGAGUCCAAGUGACAAGCAGAGCAGCUGUUGGGCAAAGCUGCCGCCUGGCGGGCUCGAGAACUGUACCAGCAGCAGUGUGCCGACGCGGGUAGACCGACAGAUGUCGAAGCAAGAUCCCUGGCUUCCGAAUCCGCCGUCAAAUGCGUCAAGUCCAUCGCUGAGGACGCUGAGAUAAACCCUCUCAACAUGGAUCAAGUCGGUGAGGACGCGGCCGAGUCCACCAGGAGCGCUAUCACAACUAUUGGACAUAAGACACCUUCGCUGUCGCUGUGCAUAGCCCGCAUCAAUCCGCAAUCAGUCGUUCUCCUCCAUGCGCCUUGUCGAGGGACCGCUUCGUUUCCACUCUUCUCCCGCUCGGGACUCGAUGCUCCCGUUCGUGCUCGGCGCGGGGCGGAAGCAUCAAGCGAUACGCGGGCUCGCAAUCCUGCUGGAACCAGAGCUGGACGGGCUCGCUUCCCGGGGGAUCGACCAGGAGUCUCUGGUUCCUCUGCAACGGCUGCACCCGCGCCGAACGUGUCGCAGGCGCAUCGAUUGCCUUUUACUGCGAGCGUAACACAGGCAAGAUACGC
RNAcentral lists this unclassified non-coding RNA (947 nucleotides) under Rhodotorula toruloides. The record is from RNAcentral. Lineage: Eukaryota; Fungi; Basidiomycota; Microbotryomycetes; Sporidiobolales; Sporidiobolaceae.